CCUACGGGAGGCAGCAGUGGGGGAUAUUGCACAAUGGGGGAAACCCUGAUGCAGCGACGCCGCGUGGGUGAAGAAGUAUUUCGGGAUGUAAAGCCCUAUCAGCAGGGAAGAAAGAAGACGGUACCUGACUAAAAAGCCCCGGCUAACUACGUGCCAGCAGCCGCGGUAAUACGGAGGGGGCGAGCGUUAUCCGGAAUCACUGGGGGUAAGGGGAGCGUAGACGGCCGUGCAAGCCAGGAGUGAAAGCCCGGGGCCCAACCCCGGGACUGCUCUUGGAACUGUGCGGCUGGAGUGCGGGAGGGGUAGGCGGAAUUCCUGGUGUAGCGGUGAAAUGCGUAGAUAUCAGGAGGAACACCGGUGGCGAAGGCGGCCUGCUGGACCGCGACUGACGCUGAGGCUCGAAAGCGUGGGUAGCGAACAGGAUUAGAUACCCUGGUAGUC
RNAcentral lists this ribosomal RNA (441 nucleotides) under uncultured bacterium. RNAcentral's name for it is "partial 16S ribosomal RNA". It matches the Rfam family "Bacterial small subunit ribosomal RNA", at positions 338 to 795 of the family's 1533-position model. The record is from RNAcentral.